AUGGGCCAAAUGGCGAUUGCAACUGCUACAUCUGGUAUUGCAGCAUCGAUAAUGCCUGGAGGACGGACAGCACACUCUCGGUUCAAAAUACCAAUCAAGCUCACUGACAAUAGUAUGUGCAGUUUCACAAAACAAAGUGGUACAGUGGAGUUGCUUAGACAGGCAUCCUUGAUAAUUUGGGACGAAGUCGCUAUGACAAAACGUCAAGCAGUUGAGACGCUUGAUAGAUCACUACAGGAUAUAAUGGAAUGUUCUUUGCCGUUUGGAGGAAAGGUUGUCGUCUUUGGUGGUGAUUCCAGGCAGGUCCUACCUGUUGUGACACGUGGGACAAGAGCGCAGAUCACGGAUGCUACACUUCUGAGAUCCUAUCUUUGGGAGAAGACCCGCAGGAUACGUCUCACACGCAAUAUGCGGGCACAGGCUGAUCCUUGGUUCUCGGAAUACCUCCUAAGGAUAGGCAAUGGAACUGAAGAGACAAUUGGCAACGACUAUGUCCGUCUCCCUGACGACAUUGUCAUUGGCUAUACCGAGGAUGAAAAAGCUAUUAACAUGCUCAUCGAAGAUGUCUUCCCAUCGUUGCAUGCCAAUGCUACAUCCAGAGAGUACAUGAGUGCACGUGCUAUUCUAUCGACCAAGAACGAUCAUGUCGAUGACCUGAAUGACAAGAUGAUCUCCAGGUUUCCAGGUGAAGAAAAGUUAUACCAUAGUUUUGACUCAAUCGAGGAUGACCUACAGAAUAAUUACACAAUUGAUUUUUUGAACUCGAUCACACCAAAUGGCUUGCCCCCACAUGUUUUGAAAUUAAAGGUCAACUGCCCGGUCAUUCUGCUACAGAACCUCGACCCUCAUAAUGGUCUAUGCAAUGGAACACGGCUUAUGAUCAAAGCCUUUCAGGAUAAUGCAAUCGAUGCAGAGAUUGUUGGUGGUCAGCAUGCUGGAAAGAGGGUGUUUAUACCUAGGAUCCCUAUGUCGCCCUCGGAGGACAUCUCACUUCCUUUCAAACUUAAGAGAAAACAGUUCCCCAUCCGUCUGAGUUUUGCGAUGACAAUUAACAAGGCACAGGGUCAGACCAUCCCAAAUGUUGGCAUUUACCUUCCCGAGCCAGUAUUCUCACAUGGUCAGCUAUAUGUUGCAUUGUCAAGAGGAGUGUCGAGAGAGACAACACGGAUUUUGGCCAAGCCAAACAAGGAUGUCGAUAAAUCCGGGAAAAGCACCAAGAACAUUGUCUACAAAGAUGUUUUGGAGAGAUGA
This 1251-nucleotide ribosomal RNA is filed under the name Triticum aestivum (bread wheat). RNAcentral's name for it is "partial small subunit ribosomal RNA". Lineage: Eukaryota; Viridiplantae; Streptophyta; Magnoliopsida; Poales; Poaceae. The record is from RNAcentral.